AUUGAACGCUGGCGGCAGGCCUAACACAUGCAAGUCGAGCGGAUGAAGGGAGCUUGCUCCUGGAUUCAGCGGCGGACGGGUGAGUAAUGCCUAGGAAUCUGCCUGGUAGUGGGGGAUAACGUCCGGAAACGGGCGCUAAUACCGCAUACGUCCUGAGGGAGAAAGUGGGGGAUCUUCGGACCUCACGCUAUCAGAUGAGCCUAGGUCGGAUUAGCUAGUUGGUGGGGUAAAGGCCUACCAAGGCGACGAUCCGUAACUGGUCUGAGAGGAUGAUCAGUCACACUGGAACUGAGACGCGGUCCAGACUCCUACGGGAGGCAGCAGUGGGGAAUAUUGGACAGUGGGCGAAAGCCUGAUCCAGCCAUGCCGCGUGUGUGAAGAAGGUCUUCGGAUUGUAAAGCACGUUAAGGUGGGAGGAAGGGCAGUAAGUUAAUACCUUGCUGUUUUGACGUUACCAACAGAAUAAGCACCGGCUAACUUCGUG
RNAcentral lists this ribosomal RNA (484 nucleotides) under uncultured bacterium. RNAcentral's name for it is "partial 16S ribosomal RNA". It matches the Rfam family "Bacterial small subunit ribosomal RNA", at positions 30 to 507 of the family's 1533-position model. The record is from RNAcentral.